Long non-coding RNA from Raphanus sativus (radish), 1356 nucleotides. RefSeq lists it as uncharacterized. The record is from RefSeq and is a predicted model, not a curated record. The transcript is spliced from 4 exons. Lineage: Eukaryota; Viridiplantae; Streptophyta; Magnoliopsida; Brassicales; Brassicaceae.
UUUAUGUCUAAUGUGAAUAAUAAAUUAAAUUUCAAAUCCAAAAUAAAUUACAAAUUAAAAUAUCAUUGUAAUAAAUUGUUAAUAAAAAAACUAACACCAAAUCACAUGUAAAAAUUAUCUAUUGGUUCAACCAGUGGUUCAACCGGUACCGGGUUUCGGGUUUUAGUGGGGUUUUACGGGUUUUUGCGGGUUUUUAAUUUUUGGGUUUUUCAUAAAACCCGAACCGGAUUUAUCUCGGGUCACCGGAUUUACCGGUUCAACCGCGGGUCCGGAUCGGGUUUCAAAACACUGGUUUUACGGUUUGAAAGCAUAAUUGAGUUAAAAGACCUAAUUAUGUUGUUGGAGGAUUUUGUAUUUUGCGGAGCAAAUCACUUUAAAUUAGAAAAGGAAAAGGACAAAGGUUUUCCAAUACUUGUGUAGCAAAAACCACGCUCUACCAGCCGCAACGGCGUCUCACACCAAAUCCUUAGCUCGUUAACAUAUGUUAACACGUGUGGGAAAAUAUUAAAAAAAAAAGAAUGGUAAGGAUCAAUCCUUAAAUAAGGGGUUUACAGAUCGAGUCCGUAUCGACGUGGCGUCUAGCCAUUGGACCGAGCAACUUAACGAAUCUGUACCCCUUCGACUUCGCAGUCACCUUGUCGAGGAUCAAUAAUCUCCGAUUUCAUUCCUCCGCCGAAGUCCCGCCGCGUCACCAGCGAGUUUAUCUGGCCGGAUCCGAAAAAUUCGAAGAAGAAGUCGAAGAAGCGAUCCAGUUUCUUCGAUCUGGACAAAAAAUUCGAGGCUGAUUUCAAAGGGUUCAAGGAUGAUGAUUAUUCUUCUUUUGACUGCGAAGAUGAAACUUUCGCGGAUGUGAAGAAGCCCUUUCUCUUCACCGCACCUACCAAACUCGUAGCUUCCCGUCCAACCACCUUUGCCACCAUUGCUAUGGUUCAUGAGAAGAAUCUUUUGUAGCUUGAAUCCAUAAAAAAUCAGUCAAAGCUGAAACCCAAUUCUUCUGUUCUCUGUAAACGCUAGCUCUCAGUUCUGUGGAGUAGCGGAGAUGAUAGGACCUGUGGAUUUUGAGAAGAGCGUUGAUUACUGGCAACAAGACAAAUGGAACGGACAGUUCCCGGUGAAGUGGCACAUCAUCAAAGACGUUCCAAACAGUCAGUUCCGCCACAUUAUAUUGGAGAACAUUGACAAUAAGCCUGUGACGAUCACUCGAGACACUCAAGAAGUGAAACUAGAACAAGGCAUUGAGAUGCUGAAGAUUUUCAAGAACUACGAUGCUGAGACUUCAAUCUUGGAUGAUUUUGGGUUUUACAAGAAUGGAAGGCAAGAAGGCAGCCAAGCUUGCCAUCUACAGGAGGAGUAGGA